GGUGACCUACGGGACGCAGCAGUAGGGAAUAUUGCUCAAUGGGGGAAACCCUGAAGCAGCAACGCCGCGUGGAGGAUGAAGGUUUUCGGGUUGUAAACCCCUUUUGUUAGAGAAGAUAAUGACGGUAUCUAACGAAUAAGCACCGGCUAACUCCGUGCCAGCAGCCGCGGUAAUACGGAGGGAGCAAGCGUUACUCGGAAUCACUGGGCGUAAAGAGCGCGUAGGCGGGAUAGCAAGU
RNAcentral lists this ribosomal RNA (238 nucleotides) under uncultured bacterium. Its description in RNAcentral is "partial 16S ribosomal RNA". It matches the Rfam family "Bacterial small subunit ribosomal RNA", at positions 333 to 588 of the family's 1533-position model. The record is from RNAcentral.